Marmota flaviventris (yellow-bellied marmot) is the source of this 273-nucleotide long non-coding RNA. RefSeq lists it as uncharacterized. The record is from RefSeq and is a predicted model, not a curated record. Lineage: Eukaryota; Metazoa; Chordata; Mammalia; Rodentia; Sciuridae.
AGCCGGCUGUAAGGGAGCGCCAAGUUCUGGAAUCCUUGGGGAGUGAUAAUGUCUAGCAACAUGCCUGAGCCUUCACUUAAGGGAACGCGCAUCUCAGUUGUAUGAAAAGGAAGACACUAGGAAGAAUUACAGGAAGACAAUGGGUGUGCACCAGAAUAGGAACUCCAGAGAAACAGAAAAAGGAAAAUGUAGCAUGGCAUAAAAAUUUGGAGACUUCUCUACCACCUUUGUCAAAUCAUUGACUGUAUGAAAAAAUACAUCACUUUACACAUA